This is a long non-coding RNA of Dama dama (fallow deer), 2988 nucleotides long. RefSeq lists it as uncharacterized. Lineage: Eukaryota; Metazoa; Chordata; Mammalia; Artiodactyla; Cervidae. The record is from RefSeq and is a predicted model, not a curated record. The transcript is spliced from 2 exons.
GAUAAGUAUGGUUAAUAGUAGUACAAAACUUUUUGUAUCAUUCACAGGCAUACUAUGCCAGUAGGAGCCAGUUAAUACCUAUAAUGGUUUUUGAAAUUGGUGUUUGUGUGUUGCUGUAACUGUUGAGCAUGUUCAGUUUCUCUUGCCUGCAAGUAUAAAUGGGAAGAGCCAUUAAAAUAGUUAAAAGACUACUGGUUAAGCUUAUCACUGCAGCUGCCCUAUCUGCUCCUCCUUUAUUUUAACUAAGGAGCUGCUCAGAGCUGUUUUCCCUUACCGGUUUGGAAGUGAAUGUAGUGUAAUGUAUUGAAUCAUCUGUAAUCUACAUCAAUCUGAAACUAUAUAGAUCCAUUCAUGUGUGUUUUUCACAGAUUCUACUUUUGAGUAGACCUUUCUGAUUGAUUAUUUCUACUCUUUUCCCCUCUAUGGUAUCAUACAUCAUAUUAUAAUAUUACUGUUAUUUUAUAAAUCACUGUAUUCUCGUAUGACAUGCGACAUGUCAUUAUAGUGAUGUGAGAAAGUAAGUCAUCUUUCAUUUUCUACUACACAGGCAGGGCUUGGUUAGUUUUGUGGCAUAAUCAGAUUUUGGGGAUACAAGUAUUUAAAAUGUAUAAUUUGCCUAAAUGAAGUUUGCUUUAAUGUAGUUUCUAGUAUUUUCAUGUUGACCACAGGUCAGGCUUAAACUGUGUACUUCCAUUAAGAUCAGUAUUCUCUCUUGAUAUUUUUCUAAAUGAGUGUAAUAAUUUCCUUCGUUUUUGGAUUUGCAUGUAGCAAUAUGGAACAAGGUGGCAGCUCCAAUAGGAAGAAAUCUUAUGCAAAAUAGUAUUUUGAGGAAAACUGGUAUUUGAAGGAAGAGAGGGAAAUGAUAAGUUCCUGUUAUUGCAUAAUUUUUAUGUACAUGUAAUUUAAAAGACUUGAGCUCACACUUCAGUUAAAAGAUUUUUCUGUGUGUGUGUGUGUACUUCUCAGUUUAUUAUGUAAUGAAGAUGAAGGAAAGGUGAUUAAUUUAUUAGGAGUUAAUUGGCAAAAUUGGUUAGUAUUUUUUAAAAUUAUGACAUUCUCUUCCCCAUAGAAUAAAUUUUUGUAACUAUCAUUUGUUGAAGAGUUUGAUUUUUCACAGUGAUGAUAGCAGUGUGUUUAAUAUAAAAAUUAGAAUUUAAAACUAGGUUUUAGGCCAGUAUUUCAUGUCUAAUCUGUCAUCAUAACUGACAUCAAUUCCUGUCUCAUUUCAUGCCCUCCCAUAUAGAAAUCAAACUUGGAGCCUCCCUAGGACAUGUAUAAUUUUUGACUUCUAAUAUAAGCCUUGUCAUAGAACCAGCUUAUUUCUAGGUUUGUUUCUAAUGUUAUUCUCUUCUAAUUUCACUAAAUUACUGUGUCUUCGGGUACUUUCCUCUGAGGUAUAAUCUUUCUACCAUGUCCACAAAAAUUCUGCAUCCUUUACCAGUUUUUAUCGAUAGCUGUGAGACAUCACUCUCUUUAUCAUUCAUUUCAGGUAAGCUGUGGAAAAUUGAAAGAUUUAGAAAUGUGACUUGAAAAAAAUAUGGAAACACUUUGGAAUACAAUAGGACUUUUGCAUAGGAGACAUCACAGAACACCUCAGUAUAUAUUGACCUUUCAGAUGGUAGAGUUAAAAAAAAUUCUGUCUUGAAAUGUACCUGACCAAGAUUCCUACUGCAUGCUGUGCCAGGCUUCAACAGUACGUGAACUAUGAACUUCCAGAUGUUCAAGCUGGAUUUAGAAAAGGCAGAGGAACCAGAGAUCAAAUUGCCAGCGUUUCGUUGGAUCAUCAAAAAAGCAAGAGAGUUCCAGAAAAACAUCUACUUCUGCUUUAUUGACUAUGCCAAAGCCUUUUACUGUGUGGAGCACAACAAACGGUGGAAAAUUCUUCAAGAGAUGGGAAUACCAGACCACCUGACCUGCCUCCUGAGAAAUCUGUAUGCAGGUCAAGAAGCAACAGUUAGAACUGGACAUGGAACAACAAACUGGUUCCAAACUGGGAAAGGAGUAUGUCAAGGCUGUAUAUUGUCACCCUGCUUAUUUAACUUAUAUGCAGAGUACAUCAUGAGAAAUGCUGGACUGGAUGAAGCACAAGCGGGAAUCAAGAUUGCUGGGAGAAAUACCAAUAACCUCAUAUAUUCAGGUGAUACCACCCUAAGGGAGAAAGCGAAGAACUAAAGAGCCUCUUGAUGAAAGUGAAACAGGAGAGUGAAAAUGUGAGUUGGACUAUAAAGGAAGCUGAGGGCUGAAGAAUUGAUGCUUUUGAAUUGUGGUGUUGGAGAAGACUCUUGAGAGUCCCUUGGACUGCAAGGAGAUCCAACCAGUCCAUCCUAAAGGAAAUCAGUCCUGAAUAUUCAUUGGAAGGACUGAUGCUGAAGCUGAAACUCUAAUACUCUGGCCACCUGAUGCAAAGAACUGACUCAUUGAGAAAGACCCUGAUGCUGGGAAAGAUUAAAGACGGGAGAAGAAGGGGACGACAGAGGAUGAGAUGGUUGGAUGGCAUCACAGAGUCAAUGAACAUGAGUUUGAGUAAGCUUGGGGAGUUGGUGAUGGACAGGGAAGUCUGUUGUGCUGCAGUCCAUGGGGUCGCAAAGAGUCAGACACGACUGAGCCACUGAAUUGAACUGAACUGAUGUUCAUAUGUGUUAUCAUAUUGACAAGAAGAUAACAUUCUUUUGAGUCUAUAGAUUUGUAUGGGUUGAGUGUCUCAGAGUCCAAAAUAUCCAAAACUGAAUUUGUAUUUUUUCCCCCUGUAUCAGCUUUCAAGUGCAGCCUUCUCCUUCUCAGUGGAUGGUAUACCUGGUAUCCUGUUGCUUAGAGUAAAAAAAAGACUUUGACACAUCCUUGAUGUCCCUAUUUUUCUUUUACUGCAUCUAAUCUGUCAAGAAGUAAAUCUCUUGACUCUGUCUUAAAAAUAUCCAUGGCUGAUCCAUGUCAAUGUAUGGCAAAAACCACUACAAUAUUGUAAAGUAAUUAGCCUCCAACGAAUAAAAA